RNAcentral lists this ribosomal RNA (440 nucleotides) under uncultured bacterium. RNAcentral's name for it is "partial 16S ribosomal RNA". It matches the Rfam family "Bacterial small subunit ribosomal RNA", at positions 338 to 795 of the family's 1533-position model. The record is from RNAcentral.
CCUACGGGUGGCAGCAGUAGGGAAUAUUGCUCAAUGGGGGAAACGCUGAAGCAGCAACGCCGCGUGGAGGAUGAAGGUUUUCGGAUUGUAAACUCCUUUUGUUAGAGAAGAUAAUGACGGUAUCUAACGAAUAAGCACCGGCUAACUCCGUGCAAGCAGCCGCGGUAAUACGGAGGGUGCAAGCGUUACUCGGAAUCACUGGGCGUAAAGGGCGCGUAGGCGGGUUAGCAAGUCAGAUGUGAAAUCCUAUGGCUUAACCAUAGAACUGCAUUUGAAACUGUUAAUCUAGAGUAUGGGAGAGGUAGGUGGAAUUCUUGGUGUAGGGGUGAAAUCCGUAGAGAUCAAGAGGAAUACUCAUUGCGAAGGCGGCCUGCUAGAACAUAACUGACGCUGAUGCUCGAAAGCGUGGGGAGCAAACAGGAUUAGAUACCCCGGUAGUC